Molecule: ribosomal RNA, 579 nt
Filed under: uncultured bacterium
Lineage: Bacteria
Description: bacterial SSU rRNA
Rfam family: Bacterial small subunit ribosomal RNA
Source: RNAcentral
CCUAGACUGAUGGCGACCGCGCGCACGGGUGCGCUAACGCGCUAUGCAACUUGCCCUCACAGAGGGGGAUAACCCGUCGAAGGACGGACUAAUACCGCGUACACUCCACUUUGGGCAUCCAAGGUAGAGGAAAUGAAUUUCGCUGUGAGAUAGGCAUGCGUCCCAUUAGCUAGUUGGUGAGGUAACGGCUCACCAAGGCGACGAUGGGUAGGGGAACUGAGAGGUUGAACCCCCACACUGGUACUGAGACACGGACCAGACUCCUACGGGAGGCAGCAGUGAGGAAUAUUGGUCAAUGGGCGAGAGCCUGAACCAGCCAAGUCGCGUGAAGGAUGACUGUCUUAUGGAUUGUAAACUUCUUUUGUAGGGGAAUAAAGAAUGGUACGUGUACCAUAGUGAAUGUACCCUACGAAUAAGCAUCGGCUAACUCCGUGCCAGCAGCCGCGGUAAUACGGAGGAUGCGAGCGUUAUCCGGAUUUAUUGGGUUUAAAGGGUGCGUAGGCGGCCUGUUAAGUCAGCGGUGAAAUCUAGGAGCUUAACUCCUAAAUUGGCGUUGAUACUGGCGGGCUUGAGUGUAGA